GGAAGGGGUGUAUUUAUUAGAUAAAAAACCAAUGCCCUUCGGGGCUCUUUGGUGAUUCAUGAUAACCUAACGGAUCGCAUGGCCUUGCGCCGGCGACGGUUCAUUCAAAUUUCUGCCCUAUCAACUUUCGAUGGUAAGGUAUUGGCUUACCAUGGUUUCAACGGGUAACGGGGAAUUAGGGUUCGAUUCCNGAGAGGGAGCCUGAGAAACGGCUACCACAUCCAAGGAAGGCAGCAGGCGCGCAAAUUACCCAAUCCCGACACGGGGAGGUAGUGACAAUAAAUACUGAUACAGGGCUCUUUUGGGUCUAGUAAUUGGAAUGAGUACAAUUUAAACCCCUUAACGAGGAACAAUUGGAGGGCAAGUCUGGUGCCAGCAGCCGCGGUAAUUCCAGCUCCAAUAGCGUAUAUUAAAGUUGUUGCAGUUAAAAAGCUCGUAGUUGAAACUUGGGUCUGGCUAGCGGGUCCGCCUCACCGCGUGCACUUGUCCGGCUGGACCUUUCCUUCUGGAGAACCUCAUGCCCUUCACUGGGUGUGUUGGGGAAACCAGGACUUUUAC
Molecule: ribosomal RNA, 558 nt
Filed under: uncultured fungus
Lineage: Eukaryota; Fungi
Description: SSU rRNA
Rfam family: Eukaryotic small subunit ribosomal RNA
Source: RNAcentral